GAUGAACGCUGGCGGCGUGCCUAAUACAUGCAAGUCGAGCGAACGUCAUAGAAGCUUGCUUCUAUGACGUUAGCGGCGGACGGGUGAGUAACACGUGGGCAACCUGCCUGUAAGACUGGGAUAACUUCGGGAAACCGAAGCUAAUACCGGAUAGGAUCUUCUCCUUCAUGGGAGAUGAUUGAAAGAUGGUUUCGGCUAUCACUUACAGAUGGGCCCGCGGUGCAUUAGCCAGUUGGUGAGGUAACGGCUCACCAAGGCAACGAUGCAUAGCCGACCUGAGAGGGUGAUCGGCCACACUGGGACUGCGACACGGCCCAGACUCCUACGGGAGGCAGCAGUAGGGAAUCUUCCGCAAUGGACGAAAGUCUGACGGAGCAACGCCGCGUGAGUGAUGAAGGCUUUCGGGUCGUAAAACUCUGUUGUUAGGGAAGAACAAGUACGAGAGUAACUGCUCGUACCUUGACGGUACCUAACCAGAAAGCCACGGCUAACUACGUGCCAGCAGCCGCGGUAA
This 514-nucleotide ribosomal RNA is filed under the name uncultured bacterium. RNAcentral describes it as "partial 16S ribosomal RNA". It matches the Rfam family "Bacterial small subunit ribosomal RNA", at positions 28 to 523 of the family's 1533-position model. The record is from RNAcentral.